UCAUAGAGGGUGAGAAUCCCGUCUGGGAUGGGCGGCCGCGCCCGUGUGAAGCUCCUUCGACGAGUCGAGUUGUUUGGGAAUGCAGCUCUAAGCGGGUGGUAAAUUUCAUCUAAAGCUAAAUACUGGCCGGAGACCGAUAGCGCACAAGUAGAGUGAUCGAAAGAUGAAAAGCACUUUGAAAAGAGAGUUAAACAGCACGUGAAAUUGUUGAAAGGGAAGCGUUGUCCACCAGACUCGCCCGGGGGGGUUCAGCCGGCACCUGUGCCGGUGUACUCCUCUCCGGGCGGGCCAGCAUCGGUUUGGGCGGCUGGUGAAAGGCCCCGGGAAUGUACCACCCUUCGGGGUGCCUUAUAGCCCGGGGUGCCAUACAGCCAGCCUGGACCGAGGCCCGCGCUUCGGCGAGGAUGCUGGCGUAAUGGUGGUCAACGGCCCGUCUUGAAACACGGACCAAGGAGUCUAACAUCUAUGCGAGUGUUCGGGUGUCAAACCCGUCCGCGCAGUGAAAGCGAACGGAGGUGGGAGCCCCUCGGGGCGCACCAUCGACCGAUCCUGAUGUCUUCGGAUGGAUUUGAGUAAGAGCAUAGCUGUUGGGACCCGAAAGAUGGUGAACUAUGCCUGAAUAGGGCGAAGCCAGAGGAAACUCUGGUGGAGGCUCGCAGCGGUUCUGACGUGCAAAUCGAUCGUCAAAUUUGGGUAUAGGGGCGAAAGACUAAUCGAACCAUCUGGUAGCUGGUUCCUGCCGAAGUUUCCCUCAGGAUAGCAGUAACGACAUCAGUUUUAUGAGGUAAAGCGAAUGAUUAGAGGCCUUGGGGGUUGAAACAACCUUAACCUAUUCUCAAACUUUAAAUAUGUAAGAAAGCCCUUGUUGCUUAGUUGAACGUGGGGCGUUAGAAAUGAAACGUUACUAGUGGGGCCAUUUUUUGGUAAGCAGAACUGGGCGAUGCGGGAUGAACCCGAACGCGAGGUUUAAGGUGCCCGGAAUGCACGCUCAUCAGACACCACAAAAGGUGUUAGUUCAUCUAGACAGCCCGACGGUGGCCAUGGAAGUCGGAAUCCGCUAAGGAGUGUGUAACAACUCACGGGCCGAAUGAACUAGCCCUGAAAAUGGAUGGCGCUCAAGCGUGCUACCCAUACCUCGCCGUCGGGGUAGAAACGAUGCCCCGACGAGUAGGCAGGCGUGGGGGUCC
This 1187-nucleotide ribosomal RNA is filed under the name Talaromyces verruculosus. RNAcentral's name for it is "LSU rRNA". It matches the Rfam family "Eukaryotic large subunit ribosomal RNA", at positions 202 to 1400 of the family's 3401-position model. RNAcentral also lists the same sequence under 1 other name. The record is from RNAcentral. Lineage: Eukaryota; Fungi; Ascomycota; Eurotiomycetes; Eurotiales; Trichocomaceae.